RNAcentral lists this ribosomal RNA (422 nucleotides) under uncultured bacterium. RNAcentral's name for it is "bacterial SSU rRNA". It matches the Rfam family "Bacterial small subunit ribosomal RNA", at positions 355 to 774 of the family's 1533-position model. The record is from RNAcentral.
UAAGGAAUAUUGGACAAUGGUCGCAAGACUGAUCCAGCCAUGCCGCGUGCAGGAAGACGGCCCUAUGGGUUGUAAACUGCUUUUGUACCAGAGAAAACCUAUCUACGUGUAGAUAGCUGAUAGUAUGGUAUGAAUAAGCAUCGGCUAACUUCGUGCCAGCAGCCGCGGUAAGACGAAGGAUGCAAGCGUUAUCCGGAUUCAUUGGGUUUAAAGGGUGCGUAGGCGGGCUUGUAAGUCAGUGGUGAAAUCUCUCAGCUUAACUGAGAAACUGCCAUUGAUACUGCAGGCCUAGAGUAUAGAUGACGUUGGCGGAAUAUGACAUGUAGUGGUGAAAUACUUAGAUAUGUCAUAGAACACCGAUUGCGAAGGCAGCUAACGAAACUAUAACUGACGCUGAGGCACGAAAGUGCGGGGAUCAAACA